This 528-nucleotide ribosomal RNA is filed under the name uncultured bacterium. Its description in RNAcentral is "partial 16S ribosomal RNA". It matches the Rfam family "Bacterial small subunit ribosomal RNA", at positions 355 to 874 of the family's 1533-position model. The record is from RNAcentral.
UGGGGAAUAUUGCACAAUGGGCGCAAGCCUGAUGCAGCCAUGCCGCGUGUGUGAAGAAGGCCUUCGGUUGUAAAGCACUUUCAGCGAGGAGGAAGGUGGUGAGCUUAAUACGCUCAUCAAUUGACGUUACUCGCAGAAGAAGCACCGGCUAACUCCGUGCCAGCAGCCGCGGUAAUACGGAGGGUGCAAGCGUUAAUCGGAAUUACUGGGCGUAAAGCGCACGCAGGCGGUUUGUUAAGUCAGAUGUGAAAUCCCCGGGCUCAACCUGGGAACUGCAUUUGAAACUGGCAAGCUAGAGUCUCGUAGAGGGGGGUAGAAUUCCAGGUGUAGCGGUGAAAUGCGUAGAGAUCUGGAGGAAUACCGGUGGCGAAGGCGGCCCCCUGGACGAAGACUGACGCUCAGGUGCGAAAGCGUGGGGCAGCAAACAGGAUUAGNUACCCUGGUAGUCCACGCUGUAAACGAUGUCGAUUUGGAGGUUGUGCCCCUUGAGGCGUGGCUUCCGGAGCUAACGCGUUAAAUCGACCGCCU